RNAcentral lists this ribosomal RNA (253 nucleotides) under uncultured bacterium. RNAcentral's name for it is "partial 16S ribosomal RNA". It matches the Rfam family "Bacterial small subunit ribosomal RNA", at positions 524 to 776 of the family's 1533-position model. The record is from RNAcentral.
UACGUAGGGUGCAAGCGUUAAUCGGAAUUACUGGGCGUAAAGCGUGCGCAGGCGGCUAUGCAAGUCAGAUGUGAAAUCCCCGGGCUCAACCUGGGAACUGCAUUUGUGACUGCAUGGCUAGAGUACGGCAGAGGGGGAUGGAAUUCCGCGUGUAGCAGUGAAAUGCGUAGAUAUGCGGAGGAACACCGAUGGCGAAGGCAAUCCCCUGGGCCUGUACUGACGCUCAUGCACGAAAGCGUGGGGAGCAAACAGG